UCAAUCCUCCAAGUGUCAAAAAUUUUUAACAGCGAAGUGCAGAAAACAUUAACUCAAGCGUGUGCUAUCGUUUCAAAAUCGAUUUAUAACCUUUUUCUAAGAGAACGUGUUAUCGACUAUUCACAUCAUACAAUCAACCAUUACUGGAGUAAGGAAUUUGUAGACAAAAAUGAUCGUUACCUGCCAGUGGAAUACCUCUUCGAUGACGGUACCGAGGAUGACAUGUGUACGAUACCUUUAUAUUAACCAGACCGAUAUCGUUACCGCCGAAGGAGAGGAGUCUAGGAACGUCGGGUCGACGAACGUGGCCAGUAUUAUCGCUGUUGAUGUAUCGUACCACUACUAGUACUUACGAUAAGUUCCAUGUGAUGAUUGGCCAAUAACCGAAGCGGUAACAGAUUGCACCGAUGUUGCUACCACUGUUAUUUCCCAAAAUGUUACGCAAGGAAUAAAGUCUGUGAAAACGA
This is a long non-coding RNA of Aedes aegypti (yellow fever mosquito), 467 nucleotides long. RefSeq lists it as uncharacterized. The transcript is spliced from 2 exons. The record is from RefSeq and is a predicted model, not a curated record. NCBI's taxonomy places the organism in Eukaryota, Metazoa, Arthropoda, Insecta, Diptera, Culicidae.